CAGUCGCCACGGUAAUACAGAGGGUGCGAGCGUUAAUCGGAUUUACUGGGCGUAAAGCGUGCGUAGGCGGCUAAUUGAGUCGGAUGUGAAAUCCCCGAGCUUAACUUGGGAAUUGCAUUCGAUACUGGUUAGCUAGAGUGUGGGAGAGGAUGGUAGAAUUCCAGGUGUAGCGGUGAAAUGCGUAGAGAUCUGGAGGAAUACCGAUGGCGAAGGCAGCCAUCUGGCCUAACACUGACGCUGAGGUACGAAAGCAUGGGGAGCAAACAGGAUUAGAGACCCCGGUAGUCCCUGUCUCUUAUAC
RNAcentral lists this ribosomal RNA (301 nucleotides) under uncultured bacterium. RNAcentral describes it as "partial 16S ribosomal RNA". It matches the Rfam family "Bacterial small subunit ribosomal RNA", at positions 509 to 807 of the family's 1533-position model. The record is from RNAcentral.